This 735-nucleotide ribosomal RNA is filed under the name Lactobacillus rennanquilfy. RNAcentral's name for it is "bacterial SSU rRNA". It matches the Rfam family "Bacterial small subunit ribosomal RNA", at positions 19 to 715 of the family's 1533-position model. The record is from RNAcentral. Lineage: Bacteria; Bacillati; Bacillota; Bacilli; Lactobacillales; Lactobacillaceae.
CUGGCUCAGGAUGAACGCUGGCGGCGUGCCUAAUACAUGCAAGUCGAGCGAACUUAACUAAAUGAAUGCGGUGCUUGCACCAAGUGAUUUUAGAGCGGUGAGCGGCGGAUGGGUGAGUAACACGUGGGUAACCUGCCUCUAAGCAGGGGAUAACAUUUGGAAACAGAUGCUAAUACCGUAUAAAUCCUAAAACCACAUGGUUUUAGGCUGAAAGGCGGCUUCGGCUGUCACUUAGAGAUGGACCCGCGGCGUAUUAGCUAGUUGGUGAGGUAAUGGCUCACCAAGGCAAUGAUACGUAGCCGAACUGAGAGGUUGAUCGGCCACAUUGGGACUGAGACACGGCCCAAACUCCUACGGGAGGCAGCAGUAGGGAAUCUUCCACAAUGGACGCAAGUCUGAUGGAGCAACGCCGCGUGAGUGAAGAAGGCUUUCGGGUCGUAAAACUCUGUUGUUGAAGAAGAACACGUUUGAGAGUAACUGUUCAGACGUUGACGGUAUUCAACCAGAAAGCCACGGCUAACUACGUGCCAGCAGCCGCGGUAAUACGUAGGUGGCAAGCGUUAUCCGGAUUUAUUGGGCGUAAAGCGAGCGCAGGCGGUUUUUUAAGUCUGAUGUGAAAGCCCUCGGCUUAACCGAGGAAGUGCAUCGGAAACUGGGAAACUUGAAUGCUGAAGAGGACAGUGGAACUCCAUGUGUAGCGGUGAAAUGCGUAGAUAUAUGGAAGAACACCAGUGG